UAUAUAUGUGUGUGUGUGAAAAAUACAUCCAACACUUAGGGGUAGUUACCCAUAUGUCAUAUAUACAAUUAUGUGUUAGCAUAUAUAUACUACUUUAUCAUUAUAAAUAUGUUGAUAACUAUAUAAGAUAAGAUAUACUUUAGGGUGAGUUUCAUGAAAAAAUUGCAAAUUGGCCCAUGAUUUUUAUUCUGUUUGUAAAAUAUGUAUAUAUUUAUAC
This 217-nucleotide long non-coding RNA is filed under the name Hordeum vulgare. RNAcentral describes it as "long non-coding RNA (HVUL_LNC016192)". Lineage: Eukaryota; Viridiplantae; Streptophyta; Magnoliopsida; Poales; Poaceae. The record is from RNAcentral.